This 3073-nucleotide long non-coding RNA is filed under the name Mytilus galloprovincialis (Mediterranean mussel). Lineage: Eukaryota; Metazoa; Mollusca; Bivalvia; Mytilida; Mytilidae. The record is from RNAcentral.
AGUGUCAAUAUGUCUCAACUCUCCAUCCAAAUUAGAUAUAAUCAGAUGUGGUAUGAGUGUCAAUAUGUCUCAACUCUCGAUCCAAAUUAGAUAUAAUCAGAUGUGGUAUGAGUGUCAAUAUGUCUCAACUCUCCAUCCAAAUCAUAAAAGAUCACACCGAACAGCUUGGUAGGUUGUAUUCAAAUAUGGUAUUCGAGUGUACAAGAUUGUCAUCCUAGUGGUGCCUUUAAUGUUUUUUUUAAUUUAUUUUAAAUUUUCCAGAAAAAUUGACCAGAAGCAGUAAAAUAAGCUUAAAUUUAUUAAAAAUAUUUCACAUGAAAUUACUUGAAUAAAUUGGAAAAGCAUGAUUUAAUCUGAAAAAUCCAUUUUUUACGACAGAUGUGUUGAGAAACAAAAUAAAGACAACUGCAAAUGCACAGGAAAAAUAGCUUCAAGAAUAAACAUGUUAAGGCAAGUAUACAAGAAGCAUUCUACAGAUGUAUGUUCAACCAUACAUAUAAAUAAGCAUAUACAAGAAGCAUUUUACAGAUGUUUGUUCAACCAUUCAUAUAAACAUGUUAAGGCAAGUAUACAAGAAGCAUUCUACAGAUGUAUGUUCAACCAUACAUAUAAACAUGUUAAGGCAAGUAUACAAGAAGCAUUCUACAGAUGUUUGUUCAACCAUUCAUAUAAACAUGUUAAGGCAGGUAUACAAGAAGCAUUCUACAGAUGUAUGUUCAACCAUUCAUAUAAACAUGUUAAGGCAGGUAUACAAGAAGCAUUCUACAGAUGUAUGUUCAACCAUUCACAUAAACAUGUUAAGGCAGGUAUACAAGACAUUUUACAGAUGUGGCAUUCUACAGAUGUUUGUUCAACCAUACAUAUAAACAUGUUAAGACAGGUAUACAAGAAGCAUUCUACAGUUGUAUGUUCAACCAUGUAAAUAAACAUGUUAAGGCAGGUAUACAAGAAGCAUUCUACAGAUGUUUGUUCAACCAUACAUAUAAACAUGUUAAGGCAGGUAUACAAGAAGCAUUCUACAGAUGUUUGUUCAACCAUUCAUAUAAACAUGUUAAGGCAGGUAUACAAGAAGCAUUUUACAGAUGUAUGUUCAACCAUUCAUAUAAACAUGUUAAAGCAAGUAUACAAGAAGCAUUCUACAGUUGUAUGUUCAACCAUACAAAUAAACAUGUUAAGGCAGGUAUACAAGAAGCAUUCUACGGAAGUAUGUUAAACAAUAACUUUGACCAAAAAAACUUUGUUCUCCCUAGUCUAAAACUGUUGUAUUGUUCAGUCGUGAAAUGGAGUAUUUCUAUACCAUGCCACCAGAAACGGUGCAGUUUAACAACACUUUGAAAAAGUAAGUUAUGUCAUUGAAUAGAUAGCUCUGCGAGUAAAUUUCUAAUGUCCGCGAGUAUCACCUGUCUAGUAGCCAGUAUUUCUUUUAAGGAAUCAAGAUACGGAUAUUGUAUUCUGACAUUGACAGUGUUUUGAAACUAUAUAGUAUUACGAAAUGUAAAGCUGCUCUUAUUUCUGGCUAUACAUAUACUUUUCUUCAUUUUUGGUUUGAUCGGUUAUUGAUAAGUUUCGGAUUUAAUCAGCUCCUCGGUUAUUGAUAAGUUUCGGAUUUAAUCAGCUCCUCGGUUAUUGAUAAGUUUCGGAUUUAAUCAGCUCCUCGGUUAUUGAUAAGUUUCGGAUUUAAUUAUAGUUGGGCCUCGAUCAUCACUAUAGAGAUAUGUGUAAUCGAUAUGCGAAUCUGAUGUUGGGAAUUGGUACCGUUUGUUUUUGCAAUUAUUUCCAUUGUUUAAAAGAGGAACGAAAGAUACCAGAGGGACAGUCAAACUCAUAAAUCGAAAAUAAACUGAAAACGCCAUGGCAAAAAAGGAAAAAGACAAACAGACAAACAAUAGUACACAUGACACAACAUAGAAAACUAAAGAAAAAGCAACACGAACCCAACUAGGGGUGAUCUCAGGUGCCCCGGAAGGGUAGGCAGAUCCUGCUCCACAUGUGCCACCCGUCGUGUUUAACUUUUAUUUAAAUUUAUGAUAUAUAAACGACAUCUAAAAGGUCUUUAAAAUGUAUUCGUUUUUUAAUUAACAGGAACAUAGAUUGAUGCCACAGACAAUGUUAAAAGUCGUGCAAAAACAAGAGAUAGACUGAUGUUAAAAGUCGUGCAAAAACAAAAACAAGAGAUAGACUAGAAACCGAUAUUGACUCAAUAGUAAAGUUAGGGUUGUGAUAUUUAAUGGUUACAGGAAACGGAAUAUCCAAAAAAACAAGAGAUAGAAUAGAAACAGAUAUUGACUCAAUGGAAAAGUAAGGGUUGUGACAUAUAAUGGUUAAAUCGGAAUAUCACUAUAUAACAAUUGUUAUGUCACGAAGCUUAGACAUAACGAUUGAACCAUUCUAAAAAAAUCCAUCUCUAUUCAAGGCAAAGACUCUAUUCCUAAAAAAACAUCUAUCUUUGGCCUUUCAACUGUUGUGAUUGGACCGCAAUUUUGUGAUUGGACCGCCACCUUUUGAUUGGAUCGCCACUGAUUAGUCUUCUGUAGACGAAAUGUGUCUGUCUGUUUGUUCGUUCUUUCAUGAAGCUCACCGAAUAGGAACAAUAGGACAAGUGAGCUGUGCAAAUUUUAUGGUUAUAGGAAACAGAAUAUCCCCAAAACAAGAGAUAAACUAGAAACCGAUAUUGACUCAAUAUUAAAGUUAGGAUUGUGACAUUAAAUGGUUAUAGGAAACGGAAUAUCACAAAACAAGAGAUAGAAUAGAAACAUAAUAUUAUAUGUUACAUGUAUCAUUACUCGUAACGAUCUAGCGCCCUCGUUGGAAAGUUUCUUUGGCUAAUAUCUAGACGUUUUAUACAUUAUGAAUUGUUUAAUGGUUUAAUGUGAGUGUAAAAUCAUGAUCAACUCUGAAAUUUUUAAAAAUAUACAGAGAGGGAAAGAACGUGUUUCGUUUAUCAUGCACUCCAGCAGCACCUGCAUACGGGGUAUAUAUCUCCCAAUUGAUACGAUAUUCCCGUGCUUGCAUUUCCUAUCAUGAUUUUCUUGAUAGAGGGUUGCUGCUCACAAGGAAGAUAUUAAACCAAGAG